Molecule: long non-coding RNA, 2570 nt
Filed under: Taeniopygia guttata (zebra finch)
Lineage: Eukaryota; Metazoa; Chordata; Aves; Passeriformes; Estrildidae
Description: lncRNA (ENSTGUG00000019688.1)
Source: RNAcentral
UGAGAGGCUCCUAUAAAGAAAAAUUCCACAUGUUGAGCAGAUAAAACUAAAACCUCUUCAAGGAAUACUCUCUGCUGCAAUUAAGGAAUGAAAGCAAAAAACCACAAAAACUAUCCAGGCAAAACCAUCCCAAAAUAUAAUUAUUUCCUUGUUCUGUUAGGUCAUGUAAAACAUAACUUUAGUAUCUGUACUACACUGAAGAGUUUUAAUCUAAUGAUCACACAAAACCAGUGGCUCAAGAACUUAAAUACAGCAGCUCUACACAGCCACACUGCACUUGGGAGCAAUUUCAGAUCUAUUGCUCUUCAAGCAAAAACUCACAAGCAUUGCUCAAAUAACCUAUAUACAACAGCAAGAUUUAGAGGAACUGCCAUUUUAUGUCACUGUAGUAAUUUUUGAGGAAGAGUCAAAUGUUUCCUGCAAUAUUUUAAUUUUUUAAAAAGUGAUAAACACAUUCCUAUAAGCUUGUUUUAGAACAAGCCUGUUCUGACAGCUGGAAGAUUCAAGGAACUGUUCUGUUUUAAAUUGCAUAUUCAAAUAACUAGAAGUGCUAUUAAAAGAAGCAAAUUCUAUUUUUUAAAAAAAUCUUUCGCCUUCCUCCUUUAAAGAAGCCUUCAAAAGUUGUGCUUCUUUAAACUCUCUGACUUCAAGGUUACAAAAUAGUAACAGAUCUUCUUGAAUGUGAAGUGCCUUUCUCAUUAAUAUCAUCAUUCUUGUUUUGCUCGUCUCCACACUUAUUUUUUAAGACUUUGUUCAUUUGUGAAAGUAAACCAAGGCAAUGAAAAAAAAUUGGUUCAGCUGUGGUUAUAAUAUCCACCAGUUUUGUAUAAGACCAUGAUAAAUCAGCACACUUACUGUAGCUCUUUCUACUUUAUUCAAUUGCCUAUUUUCUGAGUGCCCUAUUGAGCUAUUUUCUCCUAAAAUUCAGCGCACUUACAAUUGAAUCUUCCCUCUCACACAGAUCCUAUGCACAAAGAUGCACUUUUAUUAUUUCACACCCAAGAAGUUCUGUUCCUUCCCAUCACCUGGAGCACAGAAAUGAGCUGAAGGCCACAUUGAAAUCCCACCUGCACACUCCAAAGCCCAUUUUUUCAGCUCUCACACGCUGGUGGAUCCAGAGCUGCCGCCCAGUCUGAAAUCAGGGGCAGAAGGAUGUAGGGGAACCUGGCUUAGCUGGGUAGAAUGAUCCAGCUCAGCAGACCAUAAUAGUCUGUGUGUUCUGCCUUGAUAUGACAUUUUCCUAUUCACACUUUCUUACCUGGACUGACACCCCACUUACAAUGCAAAUUCAGGGCUUUUCCUCUCACCCAAGUUACUUACAGACUUUCCAUGGCUACAGGAACCCAGUGGGGCACUUUAAUAUAGAGACUUCUGGCCAGAACACAGUUACAAAAAACUCAAUAAAAUACUGUAUUUUCUGCCCACACUUAGCACUGCAUUAGCAGCUCAGUAGCAAAAAUCCAUGGAAUUUUGUUUCUCAUGAAAUAUUUCUUAUUCAGGGCCUGAUGAGCAAAUACCAGCAUAAAUUUUGAUUCACAAUUACUGUGACUAUAUCUAUUUCUUUUUCUUCUAAAGAAAAGGUUCUGAAUUCCUGCACCUAGAAUCUUUGUUCACAUCAGAACUGUCCUAGCAUUCCCCAGAAUACCCUCAGCACUGCAGCCUCCUGGCCCCUUCAGUCUGUAAGGGAACCCAAGCAUUAUUUAGGGCUGCUAUUUGUGCUCACUCAGUUUGUUCUUGUCAAAAGGGGCAAACAAUACCAAGAACCAAAUCAGAUUAAACCAAAAUCAUUCUCUGACAGAAACCAGUAGCAUUUGCUGAGGGAAAGAAGGGACAAGAAUGGGGCAAUAGAUCAUAGCAAGCACAUUGGUGUGACCUUCCCAGCUGCCAGCCAUCCAUCACUGUGGAAUAUCCUCAGAUCUGCCAGGCUUCAUACCAGCCUGGAGAGCUGAUCCACCAACAGAGGGUUCCUCAGCAGACCCAAGAAAAAACAGAAAUCAUCACUUUAUUAAUAUUUUAAAGCCUCAUAUAAUGAAAUGGCAACAUAUUACAGUAGGUAAGAUUAUUUUAAAAAAUCAUCCUUUUUGUCUUUGCACCACUUGACUUUUUCUUGAUAAUUCAUCCAACAAAUACCAUAUGUGACUUUGAAAAAAAGUCAUACUGUGAAAUCUGGAAGAUACAGUCAAGAAGGACAUUAAAGCUUUUUGUCAAAUCUGAAAAAUAUUACUUUCCUGUUGCUACAGUAACAUCUUCCUAACAAGCCCUUUAAAUUUAAACACUGUCUUAAGAGACUUCUAGGUCAAGUUAAAAAGCACAGUCAAGCUCCUCAGAGGAAUCCAGUUCAUAUUCAGCAUGGGGAAGGAUGGAACAGAAAAGGUGAACAGAAGUUUUAAUCUAUUUCCAUAAUGACUUCUCACUUGCUGUGGUCUGUCCUACUUUCUUUCCCCUUAGCCACCCAGUAGUCUCUCUUGUGAGGAGAGAAUUCUCAAUGGUCUCUCAGGAAAAUUCCCUAAUAAUUUUUAAUCCUAGAGCAACUUAUCAUCUUCAUUAAAAAAAAAAAAAAAAAAAAAAAG